RNAcentral lists this ribosomal RNA (468 nucleotides) under uncultured bacterium. RNAcentral describes it as "partial 16S ribosomal RNA". It matches the Rfam family "Bacterial small subunit ribosomal RNA", at positions 28 to 507 of the family's 1533-position model. The record is from RNAcentral.
GACGAACGCUGGUGGCGUGCUUAACACAUGCAAGUCGAACGGAAAGGCCCUGCUUUUGUGGGGUGCUCGAGUGGCGAACGGGUGAGUAACACGUGAGUAACCUGCCCUUGACUUUGGGAUAACUUCAGGAAACUGGGGCUAAUACCGGAUAGGAGCUCCUGCUGCAUGGUGGGGGUUGGAAAGUUUCGGCGGUUGGGGAUGGACUCGCGGCCUAUCAGCUUGUUGGUGGGGUAGUGGCUUACCAAGGCUUUGACGGGUAGCCGGCCUGAGAGGGUGACCGGCCACAUUGGGACUGAGAUACGGCCCAGACUCCUACGGGAGGCAGCAGUGGGGAAUAUUGCACAAUGGGCGGAAGCCUGAUGCGGCAACGCCGCGUGCGGGAUGACGGCCUUCGGGUUGUAAACCGCUUUCGCCUGUGACGAAGCGUGAGUGACGGUAAUGGGUAAAGAAGCACCGGCUAACUACGUG